GCUUCUGCAAAACGUGAACUGAAACAGCUGAACCGGGCAGGCCAGCUCCAGGGCAGAACCCACGGGUGUCAAAAUAUUACACCAAGUGAUUGCAGGUGCUCAUCUUCAAGGUGCUUUGAGUAGAAAAUAAGAACCUUCUAAAAAGUGCCUCCUAGUUGUGACGAAUGGAUCAUGCUUUCAGGCCACAGCGGGUAGUGCAGGGACAACACGACAUGAAGCUUUUCCUGGUGUCUGUUGUUAAAGUUGUGGGACUCAAUAGGAAUCCUGUGGUCCGGCACAAUUGGGAAUUGUUGCUACAGAGUAGUGUGGAAAACAAUGUUCUAUCCAGGCUAUCUGGAUUUAUACAUCCCAAAGAUGUAUGACUUCUCAUCUAUCUAUCUUCGUCUGUUUCUGUUCUUUGGAAAUGCGUCCAUUUGAUGUGUAAGAUUGGCUUGUCAUUCACACGAUUGCCAACUCUCCUAACAGCAGCUGCUUCAGGAUUUCUGAUGCUGUAAUUUGCCUAUGUAGACUAAUUAUAUUGAGCAAGAACCCAUUCAAACAUGUUCAUUAUAAAUACCAAUUGUGUCUGUGUGCCGUAGAGGCAGAGGUUACCUUAUUACGUGUCCAAAAACUUAAUCAAUUGAUGUUAACUAAGUCAAACAGAUUUAUGUAAGGUCAUGAACUGUUUUAGUACAUCUUAUUUAAAGACAUGUUGGCUUACAGAGGUCUUGGCUUUCCUCUCUCUAAGUAAUGGAUAAAUUAUCCACAUUUGUAUUCAAUUCUCCAUCACUGUUAUUUUUUUUAUUCUGCAGGAUGAGUUUCAGUUCACAUUUUGGAACAUAAUGAGGAGAGACAAAGGAAACUAUUUAUACAGGCAUGCGGUAUUCCUGAUACAGGCUAG
Molecule: long non-coding RNA, 880 nt
Filed under: Gallus gallus (chicken)
Lineage: Eukaryota; Metazoa; Chordata; Aves; Galliformes; Phasianidae
Description: long non-coding RNA NONGGAT002754
Source: RNAcentral